CAGCCGCCGCGGUAAUACGGAGGGCGCGAGCGUUAAUCGGAUUUACUGGGCGUAAAGCGUGCGCAGGCGGCCCGUUAAGACAGGUGUGAAAUCCCUGGGCUCAACCUAGGAAUUGCGCUUGUGACUGGCGGGCUCGAGUACGGUAGAGGGGGGUGGAAUUCCUGGUGUAGCAGUGAAAUGCGUAGAGAUCAGGAGGAACACCGAUGGCGAAGGCAGCCCCCUGGGCCUGUACUGACGCUCAUGCACGAAAGCGUGGGGAGCAAACAGGAUUAGAUACCCUGGUAGUCCACGCCCUAAACGAUGGGUACUAGCCGUUUGGUGCGCGAUAGCGCUGAGUGGCGAAGCUAACGCGAGAAGUACCCCGCCUGGGGAGUACGGCCGCAAGGUUGAAACUUAAAGGAAUUGGCGGG
This 410-nucleotide ribosomal RNA is filed under the name uncultured microorganism. RNAcentral describes it as "bacterial SSU rRNA". It matches the Rfam family "Bacterial small subunit ribosomal RNA", at positions 509 to 917 of the family's 1533-position model. The record is from RNAcentral.